This 496-nucleotide ribosomal RNA is filed under the name uncultured bacterium. RNAcentral describes it as "partial 16S ribosomal RNA". It matches the Rfam family "Bacterial small subunit ribosomal RNA", at positions 29 to 507 of the family's 1533-position model. The record is from RNAcentral.
AUGAACGCUGGCGGCGUGCCUAAUACAUGCAAGUCGAGCGAACAGAUGAGGAGCUUGCUCCUCUGACGUUAGCGGCGGACGGGUGAGUAACACGUGGAUAACCUACCUAUAAGACUGGGAUAACUUCGGGAAACCGGAGCUAAUACCGGAUAAUAUAUUGAACCGCAUGGUUCCAUAGUGAAAGACGGUUUUGCUGUCACUUAUAGAUGGAUCCGCGCCGCAUUAGCUAGUUGGUAAGGUAACGGCUUACCAAGGCAACGAUGCGUAGCCGACCUGAGAGGGUGAUCGGCCACACUGGAACUGAGAUACGGUCCAGACUCCUACGGGAGGCAGCAGUAGGGAAUCUUCCGCAAUGGGCGAAAGCCUGACGGAGCAACGCCGCGUGAGUGAUGAAGGUCUUCGGAUCGUAAAACUCUGUUAUUAGGGAAGAACAAAUGUGUAAGUAACUAUGCACGUCUUGACGGUACCUAAUCAGAAAGCCACGGCUAACUACGUG